ACGCUGGCGGCAGGCCUAACACAUGCAAGUCGAACGGUAACAGGAAGAAGCUUGCUUCUUUGCUGACGAGUGGCGGACGGGUGAGUAAUGUCUGGGAAACUGCCUGAUGGAGGGGGAUAACUACUGGAAACGGUAGCUAAUACCGCAUAACGUCGCAAGACCAAAGAGGGGGACCUUCGGGCCUCUUGCCAUCGGAUGUGCCCAGAUGGGAUUAGCUAGUAGGUGGGGUAACGGCUCACCUAGGCGACGAUCCCUAGCUGGUCUGAGAGGAUGACCAGCCACACUGGAACUGAGACACGGUCCAGACUCCUACGGGAGGCAGCAGUGGGGAAUAUUGCACAAUGGGCGCAAGCCUGAUGCAGCCAUGCCGCGUGUAUGAAGAAGGCCUUCGGGUUGUAAAGUACUUUCAGCGGGGAGGAAGGGAGUAAAGUUAAUACCUUUGCUCAUUGACGUUACCCGCAGAAGAAGCACCGGCUAACUCC
RNAcentral lists this ribosomal RNA (482 nucleotides) under Firmicutes bacterium SD1. RNAcentral's name for it is "bacterial SSU rRNA". It matches the Rfam family "Bacterial small subunit ribosomal RNA", at positions 33 to 504 of the family's 1533-position model. RNAcentral also lists the same sequence under 1 other name. Lineage: Bacteria; Bacillati; Bacillota. The record is from RNAcentral.